RNAcentral lists this long non-coding RNA (444 nucleotides) under Homo sapiens (human). RNAcentral's name for it is "HSALNT0262490". The record is from RNAcentral. Lineage: Eukaryota; Metazoa; Chordata; Mammalia; Primates; Hominidae.
CAGCUGGGGGUCACAAUGUGUCACUGAACAUGGAUUGCUGCAGACUCCAGGGCUCACCACAGUGGCUGGCACAGAGUGGGUGCUCGGUGAAUGUCCCACAGAGCUGAACUAGAAGGAAGGCAGAAAAAAUUACGAGGAAGCUCUUUAAGUAACAAUACGAAAACAUGUUUGAGAGAAGUGAAAAAGAAGCAGAACAGUGUGUAUGGAAUGCUCCUUUUUGUGCCAAAGAAAAAAGGGAGAGGAAAAUGUGUCUGUGUUGCCUAUAUCUAUAUCUGCUAUCUCUGGCAAACAAGCAAGAAACGGGAGACUCAGGCGGGUGAACCAGGCACCGGGGAAGUCUGUAGGAGCCUUUUCACUGGGUCCUAUUCUGUUUCUUCUGAAUUCUGGACAAUGUGCAACAAGUUGUCUAGUCAAUACUAUAUACAAUAAAGGGUUGGCAUAAAG